RNAcentral lists this ribosomal RNA (486 nucleotides) under uncultured bacterium. Its description in RNAcentral is "partial 16S ribosomal RNA". It matches the Rfam family "Bacterial small subunit ribosomal RNA", at positions 30 to 507 of the family's 1533-position model. The record is from RNAcentral.
AUUGAACGCUGGCGGCAUGCCUUACACAUGCAAGUCGAACGGCAGCACGGGUGCUUGCCCCUGGUGGCGAGUGGCGAACGGGUGAGUAAUACAUCGGAACAUGUCCUGUAGUGGGGGAUAGCCCGGCGAAAGCCGGAUUAAUACCGCAUACGAUUUACGGAUGAAAGCGGGGGACCUUCGGGCCUCGCGCUAUAGGGUUGGCCGAUGGCUGAUUAGCUAGUUGGUGGGGUAAAGGCCUACCAAGGCGACGAUCAGUAGCUGGUCUGAGAGGACGACCAGCCACACUGGGACUGAGACACGGCCCAGACUCCUACGGGAGGCAGCAGUGGGGAAUUUUGGACAAUGGGCGAAAGCCUGAUCCAGCAAUGCCGCGUGUGUGAAGAAGGCCUUCGGGUUGUAAAGCACUUUUGUCCGGAAAGAAAUCCUUGGCCCUAAUACGGUCGGGGGAUGACGGUACCGGAAGAAUAAGCACCGGCUAACUACGUG